Molecule: long non-coding RNA, 1074 nt
Organism: Hemicordylus capensis (graceful crag lizard)
Lineage: Eukaryota; Metazoa; Chordata; Lepidosauria; Squamata; Cordylidae
Exons: 4
Source: RefSeq, a predicted model, not a curated record
GUGGGGAUUCCCUAUGCAGAUAAGGAGGAGGAGCCUAUGAUUGUUAAGGUCAGUUGGAAUGCAACUGUUACUGGUCGGAAGAUGUUCUUUAUUGUAGAGGAGAGCUGCUGAUUUCCAGGUUUCCCCCACAAGAUUCUCAGUCUUUAAUACAUCACACUCUUGAGAUUCUCUGGUGUUACCUCAUUUCCCCUGCGAUUCUCUGGUGUUACAUUACUUUCUUCCAGAUUUCACAGCAAAAUGCAUCGAGGCUGGUUUGAUCAUAACAUCACGGGGUUUCCCCCCCUUCAAAAUUAAAAAAAAAAAAUGCUACAGGACACCAAGCAAGCUACAAGAAAGGCACAGGAAUGUCACCUUUGAAGAGGAUUCACAUCUGGUUUGGAGGGACUGUAUUCUCACUGCAGUUCACUCAAGCUUUCCUCACUUUUGCUGCACCUUACAGCUGCAAGUCCAUAUAACUCUAAGUUCAGGGAUUUCUACCACCAUAACUGACAAGAGAAGAAACCUGUGAGCUUCCCAUCCUCUUAACUAGCAAGGAAGAAAGGCAUGUAACAAUGGGACAAUCAAUACCAGGGUAUUUAAGAGAGUGCCUCUUUUGUCAUGAACCCUCCCGCCAUUUAUUACCUGGAGGGAGCAAGGUAAGAAGAGGCUUGGACUUUGCCAACUAGGCUCCUCUGUUUUGGACUCGGAGAUUGAUUGCUGCCUCCUGCCCCUCCUGUCGGGCCAGAGGAUUGGAUUGGAUUGGAUUGGAUCGGAUCGGAUCGGAUUGGAUCAGCUCUGCUCUUGCUAGGAUGCCUUUGUUGUCACUGUGCUGUACUCGUUGUCAUCAGUUUAGUCUUCUUUACAUUUAGUCAUAGUCCCAUUUUUUCACUGUGCUCCUUGACUUUCAUUACUAGAGCUUGCAGAUCAUCCCCAUUCUCAGCUAUCAGAGUGGUGUCAUCUGUGUAGUGCAGGUUAUUGAGGUUUCUUCCUCCAACUUUAAAACGAUGCUCAUCUUCUUCCAGUCCAGCUUUUCUCAGUCUAUGUUCAGCAUGUAAGUUGAAUAAAUAAGGAGAAAGUAUACAGCCUUGUCUUACU